Long non-coding RNA from Ailuropoda melanoleuca (giant panda), 205 nucleotides. RefSeq lists it as uncharacterized. The record is from RefSeq and is a predicted model, not a curated record. NCBI's taxonomy places the organism in Eukaryota, Metazoa, Chordata, Mammalia, Carnivora, Ursidae. The transcript has 2 exons.
CUUCACCGCGACCAAGAUCUCUGGCCAGAGCCUGAGGAGUUCCGUCCUGAAAGGUUCAGUAAGAAGAACAAGGACAGCAGAAAUCCUUAUAUAUACCUGCCUUUUGGAACUGGACCGCGAAACUGCAUUGGGAUGAGGUUUGCGAUCAUGAACAUGAAACUCGCCCUUGUCAGAGUCCUGCAGAACUUCUCCUUCAAACCUUGUA